This 501-nucleotide ribosomal RNA is filed under the name uncultured bacterium. RNAcentral's name for it is "partial 16S ribosomal RNA". It matches the Rfam family "Bacterial small subunit ribosomal RNA", at positions 899 to 1397 of the family's 1533-position model. The record is from RNAcentral.
ACUCAAAUGAAUUGACGGGGGCCCGCACAAGCGGUGGAGGAUGUGGUUUAAUUCGACGCAACGCGAAGAACCUUACCUGGGCUCGAAAUGAUAGGUAAACCCUUGGAAACAAGGGCUGGUAGCAAUACCGACCUAUGAUAGGUGCUGCAUGGCUGUCGUCAGCUCGUGUCGUGAGAUGUUGGGUUAAGUCCCGCAACGAGCGCAACCCUUGUCGUUAGUUACCAGCGGGUCAUGCCGGGGACUCUAACGAGACCGCCGGUGGUAAACCGGAGGAAGGUGGGGAUGACGUCAAGUCCUCAUGGCCCUUACGUCCAGGGCUACACACGUCCUACAAUGGCCAGAACAGAGGGAUGCAAGACCGCGAGGUGGAGCUAAUCCCAGAAAUCUGGUCUCAGUUCGGAUUGCAGUCUGCAACUCGACUGCAUGAAGUUGGAAUCGCUAGUAAUCGCAGAUCAGCACGCUGCGGUGAAUACGUUCCCGGGCCUUGUACACACCGCCCGU